CGGGGCCUUAGCUCAGCUGGGAGAGCGCCUGAUUUGCAUUCAGGAGGUCAUCGGUUCGAUCCCGAUAGGCUCCACCAACCC
RNAcentral lists this transfer RNA (81 nucleotides) under uncultured bacterium. RNAcentral's name for it is "tRNA-Ala". It matches the Rfam family "tRNA". From Rfam's summary of the family: Transfer RNA (tRNA) molecules are approximately 80 nucleotides in length. Their secondary structure includes four short double-helical elements and three loops (D, anti-codon, and T loops). Further hydrogen bonds mediate the characteristic L-shaped molecular structure. tRNAs have two regions of fundamental functional importance: the anti-codon, which is responsible for specific mRNA codon recognition, and the 3' end, to which the tRNAs corresponding amino acid is attached (by aminoacyl-tRNA synthetases). tRNAs cope with the degeneracy of the genetic code in two manners: having more than one tRNA (with a specific anti-codon) for a particular amino acid; and 'wobble' base-pairing, i.e. permitting non-standard base-pairing at the 3rd anti-codon position. The record is from RNAcentral.